This 77-nucleotide transfer RNA is filed under the name Bacteroidota bacterium. Its description in RNAcentral is "tRNA-Pro". The record is from RNAcentral. Lineage: Bacteria; Pseudomonadati; Bacteroidota. RNAcentral also lists the same sequence under 5 other names.
CGGGGUGUGGCGCAGUUGGCUAGCGCACUUGCAUGGGGUGCAAGUGGUCGUCCGUUCGAGUCGGAUCACCCCGACCA